RNAcentral lists this unclassified non-coding RNA (714 nucleotides) under Hevea brasiliensis (rubber tree). The record is from RNAcentral. Lineage: Eukaryota; Viridiplantae; Streptophyta; Magnoliopsida; Malpighiales; Euphorbiaceae.
AAGUGUUCACAUGGGGCUGGAAAUCGUAUUUACUAAAGGAAUGAAUUUGGAGAUCCAUUAGUAUCAGGAGAUCCGCAUGGCUAAAAGCCGCUUAUGUUUGAUUGAUCUGGAUUAGAUAUUCACUUGCUUUUUGAGAGAGAGUAGAAAGUUUUGUCAUACUAUAAUAUUGCAUGUUUUUAUAUAUAUGGUUGUUUAUUCACGUCAUUUAUUUUAUUGUUGUGAUAGUUAUUGAAUGUAAUAGUGUGACUUUAUUUAUUAUUUUAGGAGUGAUAGAAAAACGUCAUUUCAUCGAGGAAAAAACAGAAAUGAAAUUUACAAUCCAGAAAAUCGCCCGGCGGGAUAUUGGCUAGUUUGAUUGGUUUGAUCAAUCUAGAAAAUUAAAGAAGAAAAUUAAAGUACACGAAACAUCUUUGGUAAGGUCAUGAGAUGUCGUCAGGAUUGGUUGUUGACUUGCCUUCCAAAAAAUAAAAUUAGCAUCGCCUUUUGUUAGUAUAUAUAAGAUAUUUGGUUGCCGCCAAUUUCAAGCUUAAUUUAUUGACGGUUAGUAGAAAUUAUUUCAUGCCAUCAACCAAUAGAUUUUGAUGAUAUUGUUGACUUUGUUGCCUUAAUUUUGCCUGCUGCUUAUUAUAUUGUAGUGACAGCUGGUAUAGCAGUACUAUGUUCUGAUUAAGCGUUGAGCAGAAUAUACAAGUACGUCGUUGACCUUUUUUUUUU